RNAcentral lists this ribosomal RNA (159 nucleotides) under uncultured marine bacterium. Its description in RNAcentral is "partial 16S ribosomal RNA". It matches the Rfam family "Bacterial small subunit ribosomal RNA", at positions 355 to 507 of the family's 1533-position model. The record is from RNAcentral.
UGGGGAAUAUUGGACAAUGGGCGCAAGCCUGAUCCAGCAAUACCGCGUGUGUGAAGAAGGCCUGAGGGUUGUAAAGCACUUUCAAUUGGGAGGAAAACAGGCAGGUUAAUAUCCUGUCUCUUGACAUUACCUUUAGAAGAGGCACCGGCUAACUCCGUG